Molecule: long non-coding RNA, 675 nt
Organism: Ruditapes philippinarum (Manila clam)
Lineage: Eukaryota; Metazoa; Mollusca; Bivalvia; Venerida; Veneridae
Exons: 3
Source: RefSeq, a predicted model, not a curated record
UACAAAAACUAAGUACUGACAGAUUUUAUGUAAAACUAUAUUAUACGUAUGAGUUUUAAACAAGAAACUUGUUAUUGUACUGGGAAAAUAGUCAGAGAUGAAACCACUUGUGUGUUGUUUAGUUGUUACACUAUUUAUCCAAAAUUAUGUAGGAGCGUCAAAUUUAAGAUGUUACAGCUGUGAGUCAUGCGGUGAUCCCUUUGAUGAAUCUAACAAAUUGAAUGUGAUAUGUUCUGGCUCUUGCGUGAAAUCAAACCAAAAAGGUUCUAUUACAAGAGGCUGUUCAAAUAUUACUCUAGUAUCAGAAUGUUCAAAAGAUGGACAACUUGAAGUUUGUGCAUGUGACACAUAUCUAUGUAACAAGACGCAAGGAAAACACAAAUAUUUGGUUGGACCUUAUAUCGGCAGCAUCAUCUGUAUUAUUUUACAAACUUUCGAUAGAUAUCAUCAUUGAAACGAUCCGCAUCGAUCAUCGUUGCUACUAACAGGUCUUUAGAUACAUACAUUAUGACGAAAGGCUAUUUUGAACAUUCGCCAUUACCCGCGAAAAGUACUAGGUUUUAAUUGAGAUUAUUGUUCAUGACUAUCUUGGGAUAAUAUGGAUGAUUGCCCUUGUGCAGUAUAGCUUGUUAGUAAAAAUCAUAUUCUAAAUAAUAAAAACACAAUAAAACAUGA